CGUGAGGGGAUCCCUUCGGGGUGAAGCUCGUGGAACGAGCGGCGGACGGGUGAGUAACACGUGGGCAACCUGCCUGUAAGAUCGGAAUAACCCCGGGAAACCGGGGCUAAUGCCGGGUAAUACUUUUCUUCGCAUGAAGAUGAGUUGAAAGAUGGCUUCUCGCUAUCACUUACAGAUGGGCCCGCGGCGCAUUAGCUAGUUGGUGAGGUAACGGCUCACCAAGGCAACGAUGCGUAGCCGACCUGAGAGGGUGAUCGGCCACACUGGGACUGAGACACGGCCCAGACUCCUACGGGAGGCAGCAGUAGGGAAUCUUCCGCAAUGGACGAAAGUCUGACGGAGCAACGCCGCGUGAACGAUGAAGGUCUUCGGAUCGUAAAGUUCUGUUGUCAGGGAAGAACAAGUACCGUGCGAAUAGAGCGGUACCUUGACGGUACCUGACGAGGAAGCCCCGGCUAACUACGUGCCAGCAGCCGCGGUAAUACGUAGGGGGCAAGCGUUGUCCGGAAUUAUUGGGCGUAAAGCGCGCGCAGGCGGUUCCUUAAGUCUGAUGUGAAAGCCCACGGCUCAACCGUGGAGGGUCAUUGGAAACUGGGGAACUUGAGGACAGAAGAGGAGAGUGGAAUUCCACGUGUAGCGGUGAAAUGCGUAGAUAUGUGGAGGAACACCAGUGGCGAAGGCGACUCUCUGGUCUGUUUCUGACGCUGAGGUGCGAAAGCGUGGGUAGCAAACAGGAUUAGAUACCCUGGUAGUCCACGCCGUAACGAUGAGUGCUAGGUGUUAGGGGGCUUCCACCCCUUAGUGCUGAAGUUAACGCAUUAAGCACUCCGCCUGGGGAGUACGGCCGCAAGGCUGAAACUCAAUGUUUUUUGGGGGG
This 877-nucleotide ribosomal RNA is filed under the name bacterium MD33. RNAcentral describes it as "bacterial SSU rRNA". It matches the Rfam family "Bacterial small subunit ribosomal RNA", at positions 63 to 918 of the family's 1533-position model. The record is from RNAcentral.